CUGAGUAGUGACUGUGUAUAUGAAGUUUACUGUGUAUAUGAAGGUUACUGUGUAUAAGAUGUCGGUAAUUAGAAGAAAACCCUAAUUACUGUUGUUUGUCGAUAAUUAGGACAAACCCUAAUUAUUACAACCCUAAUCGGUUGAAGUUAGAGAUUGUAAUGACUGUGUUAGAACAUACACAGAUAAUUAGAGAAUCCUAAUGGUCAAUUAGAAACCCUAAUUGAUGGCGUUAAGAAACCCUAAUUAGAAAACCCUAAUUUUUCAAUCAAAACCCUAAUUUAAAAUUAUUGGGUUUAAUUACGAUGUUAUUGUAUAAAUGUUUUAAUUUACCAAAGGAUAGAAAGUAAUUGGUAAAUGAUAAGAAUUACCAUCUAGUGAUUAAAUACUACAUUUAAUUGCUAUGUACAAAAAUGCCCAUGAAAUUAUAUGCGAAAUUACC
RNAcentral lists this long non-coding RNA (439 nucleotides) under Panax ginseng (ginseng). RNAcentral describes it as "long non-coding RNA (PGIN_LNC000771)". Lineage: Eukaryota; Viridiplantae; Streptophyta; Magnoliopsida; Apiales; Araliaceae. The record is from RNAcentral.